GACGAACGCUGGCGGCGUGCUUAACACAUGCAAGUCGAACGGAAAGGCCCUGCUUUUGUGGGGUGCUCGAGUGGCGAACGGGUGAGUAACACGUGAGUAACCUGCCCUUGACUUUGGGAUAACUUCAGGAAACUGGGGCUAAUACCGGAUAGGAGCUCCUGCUGCAUGGUGGGGGUUGGAAAGUUUCGGCGGUUGGGGAUGGACUCGCGGCUUAUCAGCUUGUUGGUGGGGUAGUGGCUUACCAAGGCUUUGACGGGUAGCCGGCCUGAGAGGGUGACCGGCCACAUUGGUACUUACAUACGGCCCAGACUCCUACGGGAGGCAGCAGUGGGGUAUAUUGCACUAUGGGCGGAACCCUUAUUCACCACCGCCGCGUGCGUGAUGACUUCCUUCGGUUUGUAUACCGCUUUCGCCUGUGACGAAGCGUGAGUGACGGUAAUGGGUAAAGAAGCACCGGCUAACUACGUG
This 468-nucleotide ribosomal RNA is filed under the name uncultured bacterium. Its description in RNAcentral is "partial 16S ribosomal RNA". It matches the Rfam family "Bacterial small subunit ribosomal RNA", at positions 28 to 507 of the family's 1533-position model. The record is from RNAcentral.